This 497-nucleotide ribosomal RNA is filed under the name uncultured bacterium. RNAcentral describes it as "partial 16S ribosomal RNA". It matches the Rfam family "Bacterial small subunit ribosomal RNA", at positions 28 to 507 of the family's 1533-position model. The record is from RNAcentral.
GAUGAACGCUGGCGGCGUGCCUAAUACAUGCAAGUCGAGCGAACGGACGAGAAGCUUGCUUCUCUGAUGUUAGCGGCGGACGGGUGAGUAACACGUGGAUAACCUACCUAUAAGACUGGGAUAACUUCGGGAAACCGGAGCUAAUACCGGAUAAUAUUUUGAACCGCAUGGUUCAAAAGUAAAAGACGGUCUUGCUGUCACUUAUAGAUGGAUCCGCGCUGCAUUAGCUAGUUGGUAAGGUAACGGCUUACCAAGGCAACGAUGCAUAGCCGACCUGAGAGGGUGAACGGCCACACGGGAAGUGAGACACGGUCCAGACUCCUACGGGAGGCAGCAGUAGGGAAUCUUCCGCAAUGGGCGAAAGCCUGACGGAGCAACGCCGCGUGAGUGAUGAAGGUCUUCGGAUCGUAAAACUAUGUUAUUAGGGAAGAACAUAUGUGUAAGUACCUGUGCACAUCUUGACGGUACCUAAUCAGAAAGCCACGGCUAACUACGUG